Molecule: unclassified non-coding RNA, 810 nt
Filed under: Zea mays
Lineage: Eukaryota; Viridiplantae; Streptophyta; Magnoliopsida; Poales; Poaceae
Description: misc RNA Zm00001eb361430
Source: RNAcentral
UUGUCUUGGGGAAAGCACUACCAUCCGAAGAUUGAAUUUGGCACGCUCCGGAUAUCUUCCUGCACUGCUGCGGGCGGCCGCUGCCGCGAGGACCGUCCCGGCCACCGCGCCGGAGAGGGCGGCAGCGGGGCUGGAGGGCGACGAGAUCGCCGCCAGGAGGAGAGGGGCGAGGAGCGCGGAUGCCACCGCGUAGCGCUUGGACCACCGGUGUGCCGCGAUGUCCGGGAUCGUGAGGUGACACGGCAGGUACAGCAGCCACUGCAGCGCGUGGAGGGCGCGACGCGCAAGGCUGCUCCUCCCCCGCCGCGGCGGUGCGGCGGCCUCGGCGUUCUUGGACGAGAUGGGAAGCGCGGGAGGUUCGUCGAGGUCCUCGGCGAGGAGAGGGGCGGCGAGGUCGGGAUCGGGACCCGCGGCCGCGACUUCGUCGACGACGGGCUUCGUCGUGCCGUCCUCCGCGUAGCAGUGGGACGUCCAGACGAGGAGGACGUACGCGGCGUAGAGGGAGAGGAAGGAGGCGGCGACCCAGACGGUGACGGAACCGAUGAGCAGCACGGCGAGGAGGUAGCAGAACGCGACGAGGAGGAAGCAGACGUCGCACACGAACCCGGUGCGCUCGAUCUCGACGAGGCCUCCUCGGGUCCCGGACGACGGGGCCUCCUAGGGUACUCGCACGGUUGGACGACCGGGUGGGGCGGGGCGAUGCGUGGCGUGGGGGAGAGAGUGCGCGCAUCCGACAGGAGAGACUCUAGAGCGUAUUGGGCGGUUGAGAUCGUCAGGAGGCAGAACAAAGGAGAGGCAGGCUACCCUUAG